CAACAAGCGAACAUCAAGGAAGAUUAUAUACUCAUGUCAGAGCCGGAUCAUAUCAUUGUCAAGCCUAUACCAAAUUUGUCUAAGGAUGGGCUUGGGGCUGCAUUUCCUUUCUUUUACAUUGAACCCAAGAAGUACGAGAGUCAACUACGGAAGUUCUUCCCUGAGGACAAGGGUCCGAUUACCAACAUUGAUCCAAUAGGG
RNAcentral lists this unclassified non-coding RNA (201 nucleotides) under Hevea brasiliensis (rubber tree). The record is from RNAcentral. Lineage: Eukaryota; Viridiplantae; Streptophyta; Magnoliopsida; Malpighiales; Euphorbiaceae.